This 774-nucleotide ribosomal RNA is filed under the name uncultured Neocallimastigales. RNAcentral's name for it is "partial large subunit ribosomal RNA". It matches the Rfam family "Eukaryotic large subunit ribosomal RNA", at positions 22 to 621 of the family's 3401-position model. Lineage: Eukaryota; Fungi; Neocallimastigomycota; Neocallimastigomycetes; Neocallimastigales. The record is from RNAcentral.
AUAUCAGUCAUGCAUAGCAUAUCAAUAAGCGGAGGAAAAGAAACUAACAAGGAUUCCCUUAGUAACGGCGAGUGAAGCGGGAAGAGCUCAAAUUUGAAAUCUUCAAGGUUUUACCUUGACGAAUUGUAGUUUAAAGAAGUGUUUUCUGUUGAAGUUUUGGUAAAAGUUCUUUGGAAUAGGACAUCAUAGAGGGUGAGAAUCCCGUAUUUGACCAUUACUUUCAGCUUUGUGAUACACUUUCAAAGAGUCGGAUUGUUUGGGAAUGCAGUCCAAAAUGGGUGGUAAAUUUCAUCUAAAGCUAAAUAUUGGCGAGAGACCGAUAGCGAACAAGUACCGUGAGGGAAAGAUGAAAAGAACUUUGAAAAGAGAGUUAAACAGUACGUGAAAUUGUCAAAAGGGAAGCGUUUGACACCAGUGUUGUUUUCUCGAAAAUCAAUUAAAAAGAGUUGGAUUUUGUGUUGUAUUGACUUUAUCAGCUUUCUUCACUCUUUUCCAGCUUUUUUUAAUGCACUUUUCGUUUAACAAGUCGACAUCAGUUUCUUUUGUUAUAAAAAGGUCAUUGGAAGGUGGCUUUCUCUUCGGAGAAAGUGUUUAUAGCCUUUGACUCAUGCAAUCGGAGAGACUGAGGUCUGCAGCGUAGAUCCUUCGGGGUUAGAUACAUUUGUGCUAAGUUAUAGCUUUUCAUAGACAACUUGUUGACUAUGUUUAGUCUUGUAGCUUACUCGCUUAUGCUAUUUUACCUACGCUUAGGAUGUUGAACUCUAUCACACACAG